This 476-nucleotide ribosomal RNA is filed under the name uncultured organism. Its description in RNAcentral is "partial 16S ribosomal RNA". It matches the Rfam family "Bacterial small subunit ribosomal RNA", at positions 329 to 797 of the family's 1533-position model. The record is from RNAcentral.
ACGUACACUCCUGCGGGAGGCAGCAGUGGGGAAUUUUGGACAAUGGGCGAAAGCCUGAUCCAGCCAUGCCGCGUGCAGGAUGAAGGCCUUCGGGUUGUAAACUGCUUUUGUACGGGACGAAACGGCCUUUUCUAAUAAAGAGGGCUAAUGACGGUACCGUAAGAAUAAGCACCGGCUAACUACGUGCCAGCAGCCGCGGUAAUACGUAGGGUGCAAGCGUUAAUCGGAAUUACUGGGCGUAAAGCGUGCGCAGGCGGUUAUGUAAGACAGUUGUGAAAUCCCCGGGCUCAACCUGGGAACUGCAUCUGUGACUGCAUAGCUAGAGUACGGUAGAGGAGGAUGGAAUUCCGCGUGUAGAAGUGAAAUGCGUAGAUAUGCGGAGGAACACCGAUGGCGAAGGCAAUCCCCUGGACCUGUACUGACGCUCAUGCACGAAAGCGUGGGGAGCAAACAGGAUUAGAAACCCGUGUAGUCCC